This 1147-nucleotide unclassified non-coding RNA is filed under the name Hevea brasiliensis (rubber tree). Lineage: Eukaryota; Viridiplantae; Streptophyta; Magnoliopsida; Malpighiales; Euphorbiaceae. The record is from RNAcentral.
UGACUACACCCGCUUCGCUUCCUCCCCUCUCUAAGCCGGGGAAGCUAAGCCAUGGCGUCCGUCACCGCCCGCACCCCGGUCGCAGCCCUCCGCUCGUCGGCGUCGCUCAAGUCUACCUUCCUAGGGCAAUCCUCCACCCGCCUCGCCCGCGCACCGACUACGAGGCGUAAUGUUCGGGCGGAGGCCAAGGGAGAGUGGCUCCCCGGCCUCCCUUCUCCCACCUACCUCAACGGCAGCUUGCCAGGCGAUAACGGGUUCGACCCGUUGGGUCUGGCGGAGGACCCGGAGAACCUGCGGUGGUUCGUGCAGGCGGAGCUGGUGAACGGGCGGUGGGCGAUGCUGGGGGUGGCCGGGAUGCUGCUGCCUGAGGUGCUGACGAAGAUCGGGUUGAUCGACGCGCCGCAGUGGUACGACGCCGGCAAGGCCACCUACUUCGCGUCGUCGUCGACGCUGUUCGUCAUCGAGUUCAUCCUGUUCCACUACGUGGAGAUCCGGCGGUGGCAGGACAUCAAGAACCCUGGCUGCGUCAACCAGGACCCCAUCUUCAAGAGCUACAGCCUCCCGCCGCACGAGUGCGGCUACCCCGGCAGCGUCUUCAACCCCCUCAACUUCGAGCCCACCCUCGAGGCCAAGGAGAAGGAGCUCGCCAACGGGAGGCUGGCGAUGCUGGCGUUCUUGGGGUUCCUGGUGCAGCACAACGUGACGCAGAAGGGGCCCUUCGACAACCUGCUGCAGCACCUGUCUGACCCGUGGCACAACACCAUCAUCCAGACGCUGUCAGGCUGAGCGUGUGAUCGAUUUCAUCAGGGCCAGGGCAUCUCAAGGAGCUUGAUGAGUUCAGGCUGGUGAAACCGAUGAUUGGGCGAUGGAAGAUGUUCUCUUCUUGUUUCUUCUUUUUUUUUUUGUGGAGUAUGCAUGUAUAAGAUGUUAAUGAAUUGGGGGGAGGAGAGAGAGAGAGAUGGAUGUGAUGAGAUUCAGACUUACUGUGUGUGUUGUGGUAAUUGUUUCCUGCAUGCAUGGAUCUGGAUGCAUGGGUGAGGGGGUGAGUUGAGUGGUGAAUUUCUGAUGUACAGUACUACAGGGGGAUAAACUAUCUCAUGGUAGCAGCAGUGUUCUAGCUAUCUCAUGGUCUCGAUCUUAAUUAUGG